RNAcentral lists this unclassified non-coding RNA (378 nucleotides) under plant metagenome. Its description in RNAcentral is "partial contains 5.8S ribosomal RNA, internal transcribed spacer 2, and large subunit ribosomal RNA". The stretch from base 1 to 105 matches the Rfam family "5.8S ribosomal RNA", at positions 50 to 154 of the family's 154-position model. The record is from RNAcentral.
UCCCUUCUCUCAGUAAUGUGAAUUGCAGAAUUCCGUGACUCAUCGAAUCUUUGAACGCACCUUGCGCUCCUUGGUAUUCCUUGGAGCAUGCCUGUUUGAGUAUCAUGAAAUCUUCAAAGUAAAUCUUUUGUUAACUCAAUUGGUUUCUACUUUGGUAUUGGAGGUCUUUGCAGCUUCACACCUGCUCCUCUUUGUUCAUUAGCUGGAUCUCAGUGUUAUGCUUGGUUCCACUCGGCGUGAUAAGUUAUCUAUCGCUGAGGACACUGUAAAAGGUGGCCAAGGUAAAUGCAGAUGAACCGCUUCUAAUAGUCCAUUGACUUGGACAAUACUUUUAUGAUCUGAUCUCAAAUCAGGUAGGACUACCCGCUGAACUUAAGC